Molecule: long non-coding RNA, 667 nt
Filed under: Chinchilla lanigera (long-tailed chinchilla)
Lineage: Eukaryota; Metazoa; Chordata; Mammalia; Rodentia; Chinchillidae
Description: lncRNA (ENSCLAG00000026073.1)
Source: RNAcentral
AGCUGAAGUCAGAGUUGGGCAGAGUGGGUGUGGCUUAGGCACUGAGUGCCCACCGAAGUAUUUCCAUGGUUACAGAAUGGAAUGGGAGCCCCUCUUGGGGAAGGAUUUAUCAAGUCUGUAGGGACUCACGGAAAAGACUUCGAAUAAACAUAAUCUUGAUGGCAGAACAAAAGUCCAACCAAGCCCAUUAGAAUCCACACCAUGGAUUGUGAGGCUCUUCUGCCUUCUGUGGGGAAGCUGUGCAUGUUAUUCUCAAGUUAUGGUAAAGAAACAGACCCCAAGAGCGUUUCCCUCCUUGAUUAUCUGGAAUCUAAUCUUGAUAAGCAAAGAAUGUAAUUAAAAUGGAUUACAGACUAUUAAAUACCAACAAGAACAAAAUGAUUGCAGUGUGUGCAAGCCAGUAAUUAAAGCUUUAAAAGAGGAAAAAGUCACCAUCGCUUCAAAUGUUUAUUUGUCAAGCAGAAAAUCCAGGCCCUCAGCCAUACUUUUAUUCAGUGUAGCACGGGACCAUAAAUAUUUUCUAAAGAAAAACCUGACCAUAUCUAGAGGACAACAGGAUUUAAUGAGGACUGAACCGAGUGCUACUUCAAAUUUAGCACCUUCUCCAAAGAGCCAUUCUGCUAGGACGCACCCAUCCCCUAAGCAAGCAGGGGAGCCAGUAUUGUGA